GCGAGGUGGAGGGGGAGAGCACGUUUACCAAGCUCCGGGUGGUUCUCUUGUGAAAUUUGCAGCUGGCCCUCUGGACUUUGGCCUGAGCCCUCACCUGUCUCGCUAAGCCUGCGUGGCACUCGAGCAACCUCCUUUAUUUAUUUUUAAAUAAAACGACAGGAGAGAUUGUUCAGCGUUAUUUUUGUUUUAACGGUGGCAGCGAUGCUCUUUCCAGCUUUCUGCAUCCUAAGCUGAAACCGAAGUCCUUGCUUCUCGUCUUCAUUGAGAAAACAGGGUACACCUCUGCGUGGGUGGCGCUUCCAGGGUCGCGGAGUCUGUGCACUCUCUAGGGGCCAGUGCAACCGGACUGGGGAGUGGCGGAAUGAGAAUAUUUUAAUACCAAUCUGCGGUGGUUCUGCGCUGUUAACGUAUAUGCUAUAUAUAUUUGGAUUUUUGUCGUCAAGAGAUCUCACUUCCAUAUUUGAGGUAAGUCAGCUGUUUCCAUGUUGAGAGAAUAGGAAAACUGUGGCUCAAAGUUGAAGUGAUUUACCCAAGAUCACUCUACAACCUAGAGCAGUGCUUCGCUGCUCCCUCUAUUCUGACAGUAAAAAAAUCAAAUAGCUAAUGUAUAAAGACUUCGAAGUUUUUAAAAUUUUGCCUUUAUUUAAGAGGUAAAAAAGAAAGUGGACCAAAAGGUAAGUGACUUGUUUAGAGUCACAUACUUUAUUAGUGGCAUGCCCAGAGAACUCCUUGCUGUCCCCCCUU
This 744-nucleotide long non-coding RNA is filed under the name Ursus americanus (American black bear). RNAcentral's name for it is "lncRNA (ENSUAMG00000001320.1)". Lineage: Eukaryota; Metazoa; Chordata; Mammalia; Carnivora; Ursidae. The record is from RNAcentral.